This 253-nucleotide ribosomal RNA is filed under the name uncultured Gemmata sp. Its description in RNAcentral is "partial 16S ribosomal RNA". It matches the Rfam family "Bacterial small subunit ribosomal RNA", at positions 524 to 776 of the family's 1533-position model. The record is from RNAcentral. Lineage: Bacteria; Pseudomonadati; Planctomycetota; Planctomycetia; Gemmatales; Gemmataceae.
GACGAACCGUGCAAACGUUGUUCGGAAUCACUGGGCUUAAAGGGCGCGUAGGCGGCAGAUCAAGUCCGGGGUGAAAUCCUGCAGCUUAACUGUAGAAGUGCCUUGGAUACUGAUUUGCUCGAGGGAGGUAGGGGUCUGUGGAACUUCUGGUGGAGCGGUGAAAUGCGUUGAUAUCAGAAGGAACGCCGGUGGCGAAAGCGACGGACUGGACCUCUUCUGACGCUGAUGCGCGAAAGCUAGGGGAGCAAACGGG